RNAcentral lists this ribosomal RNA (500 nucleotides) under uncultured bacterium. Its description in RNAcentral is "partial 16S ribosomal RNA". It matches the Rfam family "Bacterial small subunit ribosomal RNA", at positions 29 to 523 of the family's 1533-position model. The record is from RNAcentral.
AAUGAACGCUGGCGGAAUGCUUUACACAUGCAAGUCGAACGGCAGCACGGGGGCAACCCUGGUGGCGAGUGGCGAACGGGUGAGUAAUACAUCGGAACGUGCCCAGUCGUGGGGGAUAACGUAGCGAAAGUUACGCUAAUACCGCAUACGAUCUACGGAUGAAAGCGGGGGACCGUAAGGCCUCGCGCGAUUGGAGCGGCCGAUGUCAGAUUAGGUAGUUGGUGAGGUAAAGGCUCACCAAGCCGACGAUCUGUAGCUGGUCUGAGAGGACGACAAGCCACACUGGGACUGAGACACGGCCCAGACUCCUACGGGAGGCAGCAGUGGGGAAUUUUGGACAAUGGGCGCAAGCCUGAUCCAGCCAUUCCGCGUGCAGGACGAAGGCCUUCGGGUUGUAAACUGCUUUUGUACGGAACGAAAAGGCUCUGGUUAAUACCUGGGGCUCAUGACGGUACCGUAAGAAUAAGCACCGGCUAACUACGUGCCAGCCGCCGCAGUAA